Mauremys reevesii (Reeves's turtle) is the source of this 822-nucleotide long non-coding RNA. RefSeq lists it as uncharacterized. The transcript is spliced from 3 exons. The record is from RefSeq and is a predicted model, not a curated record. NCBI's taxonomy places the organism in Eukaryota, Metazoa, Chordata, Testudines, Geoemydidae.
AUUAUAUAUUAUAAAUCAAGAUGAGACCAAGCCACACAGUUUGGCUCCAGAUCUGAACUUUCCCAAUAUCUAAGGGCUCUCUGGAUAUGAGCUUCAGUUCAUAGACUGCAUGAAGCCUGCAGCAUGUUUGAUCCAUUUCAACACAAAGAGUAAUAUUAUUCACUGUAAACUAAAAACUUCAGGUAAUAGACCUGUUAUUAGAAGUAAGGAAAGUGAAAGAAGGUAUGAGAAAUGAAAACUCCUUCACCUACAGUAAAGUGUCGUGUGUAUGUGUGUGCGUGUGUGUGUAAGUAAGUAAGUAAAAAUCUUCCUUACUUGAAAGCAGCAGGACUGUAGCACUCAUCUGGGCUCUGUUAGUCCCAAACUCUUUUUCACCAGGUUCCCCACUGUUGCAAAGAAGCAGACCUUUACAAUGUCAUGUCCCCUGGAAUUCUCUGUGCUGGCUGCCCAGCUGUCUCUCUGAAGUACCAGAGCAGUAGCAGCUUGAAAGAAGGAUAAAGAGCCAGCACCAUGAUCCCAGCCUGCUCUCCACAGAGCCACCAAGAAGUGCCCAAGAGUCUGGGAAUUGCUGGUAUAUCAGAAUUCUAAUGUUUUGGCUGCAGCUCAACAGGAAACUAAAUCUGUAGUCAUUGCAAUUUACAAGUAAGAAAAUAGGAGGAACAACUGUGCCGCUUCAAAAAACAAAAUAAAGCUCCAGUAGUACAGCUGACAAGGUCGCAUCUGUGUGGGAGGGGUUUUAACUCAUGUGGAAACGGUGCUCCCCUCGUGUUAUGUGAGAAGAGAAUUCAUAUCUGUCCUGGCUGUGGUAGCCACACAUGUUGC